UCCCAGGCAAGAAUGCUAGAGUGGGUUGCCAUUCCCUUGUCCAGGGGAUUUUUCCAACCCAGGGAUCGAACCCACUUCUCUUGCAUUGGCAGGUGGAUUAUUUACCAGAGCCGCCAGGGAAGGCCAGUGCUCUCAGAACAAGGUCCAGACUCCUUAGCCUGGCACUCAAGAUCCUUUGCAACCUGGCCUCGCUUUAUUCACGCUGCCCCCUCUCCAGGGCAGCCACAGGCAGGGGCAGGGGUUUUCUGAACACAGACACACCCACAAAUCCCCCAGCUUGGGAAGCCUGCAGCUCCUUACCUCUGUUUAGGAAUGUCCCAUUGCUCUCUGCCCAAGGCCCAUGUUCAGGGUCCCUUCUCUUUCGACCUUUCACCUCUCCAGCCUCUCCAGGGUUCCGCCCCUGGGCGGGGGAGGGGGGGGCCCUACCUGGCACCCCACCCCCCCAUUCCAGCCAGGGGCUAAGGUCUCCAACAACAGAACCAGAGCCACUCAGCAACGCUGGAACCCAUUCGGGGGGGCCUGGGGCCCCUCAUCCCAAGCCAGGAGGGCUUUGGGGGAGGGGUGCGGCCCCUGGCAGACUCACUGUGUGGCCCAGGGGUCUGGGGGUUGCCAGGGAGGUGGGGGCGAACCUUGCAGGGCAAGGCACGAGUGCGGUCCUCUUUGCCCCACUGUGGGGGCCUUGGGGCCAGUGUCGGGGCAGGAGGCCUCGGAGGCAGAGCCCGCGGAGCAGGGGUGGCGGCAGGCCGACGUUCAGAGGCAGGGACACCAUGGCCACCAUCCAGUCGGAGACUGACUGCUACGACAUCAUCGAGGUGCUGGGCAAGGGCACUUUCGGGGAGGUGGCCAAGGGCUGGCGGCGAAGCACAGGCGAGAUGGUGGCCAUCAAGAUCCUGAAGAAUGACGCCUACCGUAACCGGAUCAUCAAGAACGAGCUGAAGCUGCUGCGCUGCAUGCGGGGCCUGGACCCCGAGGAGGCCCACAUCAUCCGCUUCCUCGAGUUCUUCCACGACGCCCUCAAGUUCUACCUGGUCUUCGAGCUGCUGGAGCAAAACCUUUUCGAAUUCCAGAAGGAGAACAACUUCGCGCCCCUCCCCGCCCGCCACAUCCGCACGGUCACCCUGCAGGUGCUCCGGGCCCUGGCCAGGCUCAAGGAACUAGCCAUCAUCCAUGCUGAUCUCAAGCCCGAGAACAUCAUGCUGGUGGACCAGACCCGCUGUCCCUUCAGGGUCAAGGUGAUCGACUUUGGCUCGGCCAGCAUAUUCAGCGAGGUGCGUUACGUCAAGGAACCCUACAUCCAGUCCCGCUUCUACCGGGCCCCUGAGAUUCUACUGGGGCUGCCCUUCUGCGAGAAGGUGGACGUGUGGUCCCUGGGCUGCGUCAUGGCCGAGCUGCACCUGGGCUGGCCCCUCUACCCGGGCAACAAUGAGUAUGACCAGGUGCGUUACAUCUGUGAGACACAGGGCCUGCCCAAGCCCCACCUGCUGCAUGCCGCCCGCAAGGCCCACCACUUCUUCAAGCGCAACCCGCACCCCGACGCCGCCAACCCCUGGCAGCUGAAGUCCUCGGCUGACUACCUGGCUGAGACCAAGGUGCGCCCACUGGAGCGCCGUAAGUACAUGCUCAAGUCACUGGACCAGAUCGAGACAGUGAAUGGCAUCGGGGUGGCCAGUCGGCUGACCUUCCCGGACCGCGAGGUGCUGGCGGAGCACGCCGAUCUCAAGAGCAUGGUGGAGCUGAUCAAGCGCAUGCUGACCUGGGAGUCGCACGAACGGAUCAGCCCCAGCGCCGCCCUGCGCCACCCCUUCGUGUCCAUGCAGCAGCUGCACAGCGCCCACGAAACCACCCGCUACUACCAGCUCUCGCUGCGCAGCUGCCGCCUGUCCCUGCAGGUGGAGGGCAAGCCACCCACGUCGGUCUUGGCCGCCGCGGAAGAUGGGCCCCCCUACUACCGUCUGGCCGAGGAGGAGGCGGCCAUGGGCCUGGGCAGCACGGGGGGCAGCGGGCCCUUCUUCCGAGAGAAGGCCCCCAGCAUGCAGAGGGCCAUCGAUCAGCUGGACGACCUGAGCCUGCAGGAGGUGGGGCGUGGGCUCUGGGGCGAGACUCAUGCCGAUGUGGUCCCCGACGUGCUGGCCCCACUCAAGGCCGCCGCUGUGGGCCGCCGGCUGCCCGAGUCCAGCCCUGAGCCCAUCCUGGCCUUCUACGGCACCCGCCUGGUGGGCCGCCACAAGGUCCGCAAGGCACCGGCAGGCUCCAAGUCUGACUCCAACUUCAGCAACCUGAUCCGGCUGAGCCAGGCCUCACCUGAGGACGACGCCCCGUGCAGGGCCAGCGGCUGGGCAGAAGGAGAGCACCUUGGGGCCUCUGCCGAGCCGCCUGUCAUCCCACAGCGUGACGGGGAUGGGCCGGACAUCAAGGACAUGACCAUGGAUGCUGAGCCCGCCAGGCUCUUCUGUCCAUGAAGAUUCUCCAGGCAAGAAUACUGGAAUGGGUUGCCAUGCCCUCCUCCAGGGGAUCUUCCCGACCCAGGGAUGGAAACUGCACCUCCUGCACUGGCAGUGAAUUCUUUACCCGCUGAGCCACGGGGGAAGCCCUCUAAUCACUCUUGUCCCUGACUGGCUCACAGCCCACCGCCAUGGCACUCCUCAUGUGCCCCUGCACCCCAGGAGCUUCACCCAGCCCCCUCCACCCUCCCAACAGCCUUGACCCUGUUGGGUUGACACCGCCUGGUGACAGGCCCGUCUCCACCCUGGACCACGAGUUCCAAGAGGCCUAUCUGUUGCCAUCACGUUCUCAGCGUCAGAACAGGGCUGGGCUUAGAGCAGGCUCUCCGGAAGUGAGUAGUGAAGGUCAUGUGGGUGGACAGGGCCUUGGAUGCCGUAUAAAGGGGCUGGCAGGUGCCAUCAGGGAUCAGAGGGGCUUCCAUGAGCAAGGGGAGGGUGGUGGAGGGCGGGACUGGGGUAUGCUUCAGGAGGGCUGGUAAGAGGAGGUGGGGUACGGUUGGAGGCUGGGAGCCCCACGAGGCAGGGAGUGACCUAGAAGGGCAGUGGGCAGGGCUCAGGCAGACCUGGGUCAGGGAGCGCCAAUCCAUGUUGGCACUGCCGAGGUAGAAGUGGGUCUGGUCCACCACCCAGAACUUGGUGUGCAGGACGCCAUGGGUCAGCUUCUGCAUGUCCACCAUGCGGACCUGGGCACCUGGACCGACAGGGGUGGAGGUCAGGAGCUGGCUUGGGGAGCUCCAGACCCAGCCCACCCCCAGUGGCCCUCUAGCUCACCGCUCUGUAGCAGCGCCUGCAGGUCUGCCUGAGGCUGGGGCCCAUUGGGCUUGCUCACAGCAAUGCGGACCUUCACACCUCGGGGUGCCAGAGUCUGCAGCUGCCGGAGGACCUCCUCGCCCUGGAGGGAGGAGACAGCUUCUGAGGGGAUGGAUCAGCUGGCUCUCGAGCCCCAUGGAGCACCCCACGGAGUCAUUUUGAGAUUAGGCUUCUAGAUCUGAUCAGGCUUUACAUUAAUACAGUUAGGAAAAGCUUUACAGGUUAAGAAGUUAAAACCUUACUUUAUCUGUUUUAUUUAUUGUUUUGGUUGUGCUGUGCAGCAUGAGGGAUCCUAGUUCUUCAACGAGGGAUCGAACCCAUGCCCCCUAUAUUCAGAACACGGAGUCUUAACCACUGGACCAACAGUCCGGAAGUGUCUAUCUAUUUUAAUACCUGGCUGCUCUGAGCCCUGUUAGGGCCUCCCUGCCAUUCCUGCCCUUCACAGGUCCUUCCCAAGACCCUGACCCGGUAGUUAUCCACGCCUGACACAGCAGGGGUCUCUAGGCACCUUGCAGAAUGUUAAAGGCACAGCGCAGACUUGGGAGUCUGGGAAGACCUAGGUAAGGCUUGAUGAUGCUCAUAACAGUAACAGCCAAUGAUUCCCUUGUCUCUACUGUGAGCCAGGCCCCUUCUGAGCCCCUUUAUACCCGAACUCUGAAUUCUCACAGCUGUCAUUGGUAAGGCAAGUCUGAGUUUAUCCCAAAGUGCAGACGAAGAAACGGAGCGUUGGAGAAAUCAACAAGAAAGCAGGAUUUGAACUCAGACCGUCUGCCUUCUAUGUCUGUGCUUUGUGCUUUGAAUCACUCCAGUAGGAACCAGCAGGGCAUGGAAGCUCAUACCUUUUUUUUUAAGCUUGAAGGAUCUUAGUUCCCUGAUCAGGGAUUGAACUCGCACCCUUGGCAGUGAACGCUCAGAGCCCUAACCACUGGACUACCGGGGAAUUUCCAGCUCAUAUAAUUUUUAACUGUUGUGCAUUUUUUCCAGGCACUGUUUAAUGAUCCCCACAAUUUUAAUACAUUUAAAGUCUACCUCUGACAAAGAGUGGCAGCAGGGAAAAGGAAGAAGAGCGACAAAUUCACUACGUCUUUCAAAGAAGGGCUUAGCCACCUAGGCUGUUCCUUUUCAAAUCUUGGAGUUUUAUGCUUUUUAAGUUUGCCUGCAGACCCUAACAAGGCUAUCACAGUAAAUGCUUAUAAAGGGCUGACUCUUGUCAGGCACUGCUCUCAUUGGCUGGGAUCAGCCCGUUUCAUCUUCACAAGAGGUGAACACUAGAUAAUGGCCCCAUUCUACAGAUGAAGAAAAUGAAGACUGCAAGAUGAGGUGACCUGCCUGAGGUCACAGAGCUGGCACGCAGAAGCCUGGCUUGAGGCUGGGCUGGUACUCAGUCCAUGUUUCCAUUUCUUUGUGUGACAGGCUCAGGGAAGGAAGCUUGUGGGUGAGCAAUAUCUGCUAGCCUAAUCCCUCGUAACCGAACCCAUGCCCUGACAUUCAGAGGCCUCCAGAUGACCGUGACAAAACACCCCCAGUCCCGCAGGCCAUGUGAAGACAGUUGCUUCCAAACACUUUUGUCCAACCCACUACGUGAGACAUGCCAGUCUGUCUCCUGGGCUGGAGGGAAACCCCUUUCAUUUCCCUGCCUCUGAUGCCUCCCACCACCCCUGCUGCCAGCCAGGGCCCAGGUUGCCAGGUACCUGCUG
This is an RNA transcript of Bubalus bubalis (water buffalo), 5008 nucleotides long. It is a transcript of the gene named homeodomain interacting protein kinase 4, with no coding region annotated. The record is from RefSeq and is a predicted model, not a curated record. The transcript has 5 exons. NCBI's taxonomy places the organism in Eukaryota, Metazoa, Chordata, Mammalia, Artiodactyla, Bovidae.